AUUGAACGCUGGCGGCAUGCCUUACACAUGCAAGUCGAACGGCAGCACGGGAGCUUGCUCCUGGUGGCGAGUGGCGAACGGGUGAGUAAUACAUCGGAACGUACCCUGAAGUGGGGGAUAACGUAGCGAAAGUUACGCUAAUACCGCAUAUUCUGUGAGCAGGAAAGAGGGGGAUCGCAAGACCUCUUGCUUUAGGAGCGGCCGAUGUCGGAUUAGCUAGUUGGUGAGGUAAAGGCGUCACCAAGGCGACGAUCCGUAGCGGGUCUGAGAGGAUGAUCCGCCACACUGGGACUGAGACACGGCCCAGACUCCUACGGAGGCAGCAGUGGGAAUUUGGACAAUGGGCGCAAGCCUGAUCCAGCCAUGCCGCGUG
Molecule: ribosomal RNA, 373 nt
Filed under: uncultured bacterium
Lineage: Bacteria
Description: bacterial SSU rRNA
Rfam family: Bacterial small subunit ribosomal RNA
Source: RNAcentral